Oxyura jamaicensis (ruddy duck) is the source of this 146-nucleotide long non-coding RNA. RefSeq lists it as uncharacterized. The record is from RefSeq and is a predicted model, not a curated record. The transcript has 4 exons. Lineage: Eukaryota; Metazoa; Chordata; Aves; Anseriformes; Anatidae.
AACACAGGAUAUUCUGUGAUUGUAUGAACAAAGAUUUCGAACACCACUGUUACACCAGCUGCUGCCCUACAAUCUCUUGAGAGCAACCCUAUAUAAGGCUAGGUCAGACUGUUAAGCUUCCAAGUCUCACUGCCCAGUAACACCUC